CGUCAUUCAAUACCAGGAGUGCCUAAUCAUCCAUCAUCCAUUCGUGCAAUCAGUAAGCAUUUACGGAACAUGUACCUGCGCUUCCUCCUGUCCUGGGCCCUGGAGGCAAAGCAGUUUGGGCCUCUGCCCUAACAUGGAUCACAUUCUUGUGGAGAAGCUGGGGAGGAAAUGGAAAAUUACGGUGGAGCGUGUUGAGAGCUGCAGCAGGCACACAGCUUGUGUGCACAUACUCUGCCCUGGGGAUGACGGAUGGAGAAAUUCCGCAGGGGAGGUGCUAUGCUGCUGCUGCUGCCGCUGCUGCGUGGCUUCAGUUGUGUCCGACUCUGUGCGACCCCAGAGACGGCAGCCCACCAGGCUCCCCUGUCCCUGGGAUUCUCCAGGCAAGAACUCUGGAGUGGGUUGCCAUUUCCUUCUCCAGUGCAUGAAAGUGAAAAGUGAAAGUGAAGUCGCUCAGUCGUGCCCGACUCUUCGCGACCCUAUGGACUGCAGCCUACCAGCCUCCUCCGUCCAUGGGAUUUUCCAGGCAAGAAUACUGGAAUGGGGGGGGCCAUCGCCUUCUCCGGGGAGGUGCUAUAGAGAAGGAAUAAUCCCCUCUAGAGUGGAGAAAGUCCCGAGUAAUCCUUCAGAAAAAGUGGCAGCUGACCUGGGAAACGCUGCGAUUCGGCGGGGUCAGGCAGAGCAAGGCAUCAGGCCAUGUGCCGUGGGCUGGCAGAAGUGGAGAAGCUCAGUAAGUGAUGUCGUGAUGUGCUGGAAAACAGGCUUUUAUUGUGCCGUGUGUACCAAGACUUAUGUUUUAUCUUCCCGAAAAGAGCCAGCAUACUUUAUUUUCUGCGCGUACCUCUCUCCGCCUCUCCUCCCCGCUUACUGAGAUUUAAGUCGGCUAUUGUAGCGCUCUAUCUCUGAUCAGCCUUAAAGAUCUGAAAAGCCCUGAGUUUGCAAGAUGGAAAAAAGGCCUCCGGGUUUGACAGUGAUAGAUCCUGCUCGUCCCCUCAGGAGGAUGGCCACAGAGCCUUCGGAUGACAAGCUACACCCCCUGCUCUCCUGUGCCUUUCUGAAGAGGUCAAGGCACCUGCAGGGGGCAAAGGAAUUGCCCAACAAGCUCAGCCUGGGCUGCGCUUACCCGGCACAGUGGUGAUGCUUCAGAUUAGAUGCGACAAGUUUGGAGUGAAAGGGAUCAUGGAGAGCCAGUCCUGGAACUCAAGGAUUGCAUCAGGGGAGGCAUGCUCAGUCGCUCAGUCGUGUCUGACUCUGCAACCCCAUGGACUGCAGCCUGCCAGGCUUCUCUGCCCUUGGAAUUCUCCAGGAAAGGAUAGUGGAGUGGGUUGUCAUUUUCCUUCCUCACGGGGUCUUCCCAACCCAGGGCUCAAACCGUCAUCUCUUGCAUUGAAAGGCAGAUUCUUUACCACUAGUGCCACCUGGGAAGCCUGUUAUCAAGGAAAACAAGGUUUAAAGUGCAAAAAUGAUCCUUUAAACUUAGACCCAAAUCCCUACUCAGCUGCUUUCAAGAAGUGUGACUUUGGCCUGGAUGGGAGGAGAGCUGGGGGAGAAUGGAUGGAUGGAUGUGUACGUAUGGCUUAAUCCCUUUGCUGUUCACCUGAAACUAUCACAUUGUUAAUGGCUAUACCCCCAAUAAAAAAUAAAAAAUAAAAAAAAAAGAAGUGUG
RNAcentral lists this long non-coding RNA (1663 nucleotides) under Capra hircus (goat). RNAcentral's name for it is "lncRNA (ENSCHIG00000005241.1)". The record is from RNAcentral. Lineage: Eukaryota; Metazoa; Chordata; Mammalia; Artiodactyla; Bovidae.